RNAcentral lists this ribosomal RNA (407 nucleotides) under uncultured bacterium. RNAcentral's name for it is "partial 16S ribosomal RNA". It matches the Rfam family "Bacterial small subunit ribosomal RNA", at positions 30 to 526 of the family's 1533-position model. The record is from RNAcentral.
AUUGAACGCUGGCGGCAGGCUUAACACAUGCAAGUCGAACGGAGUGGCGGACGGGUGAGUAAUGCUUGGGAAUCUAGCUUAUGGAGGGGGAUAACUACGGGAAACUGUAGCUAAUACCGCGUACCAUAGGAUGAGCCCAAGUGGGAUUAGGUAGUUGGUGGGGUAAAGGCAUACCAAGGCGACGAUCCGUAGCUGGUCUGAGAGGAUGAUCGGACACACUGGAACUGGGACACGGUCCAGACUCCUACGGGAGGCAGCAGUGGGGAAUAUUGGGCAAUGGGCGAAAGCCUGAUCCAGCCAUGCCGCGUGGGUGAAGAAGGUCUUCGGGUUGUAAAGCACUUUAAGUUGGGAGGCGUUACCAACAGAAUAAGCACCGGCUAACUUCGUGCCAGCAGCCGCGGUAAUAC